Molecule: ribosomal RNA, 253 nt
Filed under: uncultured bacterium
Lineage: Bacteria
Description: partial 16S ribosomal RNA
Rfam family: Bacterial small subunit ribosomal RNA
Source: RNAcentral
UACGUAGGGUGCGAGCGUUGUCCGGAAUUACUGGGCGUAAAGAGCUCGUAGGUGGUUUGUCGCGUUGUUCGUGAAAACUCACAGCUUAACUGUGGGCGUGCGGGCGAUACGGGCAGACUGGAGUACUGCAGGGGAGACUGGAAUUCCUGGUGUAGCGGUGGAAUGCGCAGAUAUCAGGAAGAACACCCGUGGCGAAGGCGGCUCUCUGGGACGGUACUGACGCUGAGACGCGAAAGCGUGGGGAGCAAACAGG